Long non-coding RNA from Gallus gallus (chicken), 575 nucleotides. Lineage: Eukaryota; Metazoa; Chordata; Aves; Galliformes; Phasianidae. The record is from Ensembl.
UAAAAAAGAAAUAAAAAAUGCAUUCUGGAUUUGUAAAAGAUGCUGACAGUUCUUAAUGGGGAGGAUUCUAUUCUGCAUAGUGACUUAUGGUUUGUUCCUAAACAAUCUGCAACAAUCCUUUGCUUCAUUCUUGGCUGGUGUUUCCAUCUGAAUAAAACAUCCCAACCCAGUCCCUCUGGAAAAUGAGGAGAGUUUCUUGAUUUCAGUGAAUUUGCAAUCGAGCUUGAAAUGUAGAUACUAAUGGCCGUAUGGAAGUCUCUCUGUGCAGAAAUACUGGCCUUUGCUGAAUCCCAUCAAGCUGAACAGGUCAUAGCUGCGGCUGCUGGUGGUAGGCUUGGAGGAGGUUCUUUGGUUUGGAUGGAAGGUUUUGAAGACUCCCUGUGCUCUUCUUUUGGUAUGAGACAAUUUUAAUUCAUGUGGCUGAGUGCAUAGAUGAACUUCAGCAGCCCAGAGCUUGCACAUUACUGAAUGCAUAAGGGAAGCUUGGAUUCCAGUUUUACUCCAAAAAGUGAUUGGAUACUUUGUGUGAAGUAGACUUAUGUCAAAAGGAGAGAAUUAAUGUACUCCAGUUCCAG